This 478-nucleotide ribosomal RNA is filed under the name uncultured bacterium. Its description in RNAcentral is "partial 16S ribosomal RNA". It matches the Rfam family "Bacterial small subunit ribosomal RNA", at positions 28 to 523 of the family's 1533-position model. The record is from RNAcentral.
GACGAACGCUGACGGCGUGCUUAACACAUGCAAGUCGAACGGUAAGGCCCUUCGGGGUACACGAGUGGCGAACGGGUGAGUAACACGUGGGUGAUCUGCCCUGCACUUCGGGAUAAGCCUGGGAAACUGGGUCUAAUACCGGAUAGGACCACUGCCUGCAUGGGUGGUGGUGGAAAGCUUUUGCGGUGUGGGAUGGGCCCGCGGCCUAUCAGCUUGUUGGUGGGGUGAUGGCCUACCAAGGCGACGACGGGUAGCCGGCCUGAGAGGGUGACCGGCCACACUGGGACUAAGAUACGGCCCAGACUCCUACGGGAGGCAGCAGUGGGGAAUAUUGCACAAUGGGCGCAAGCCUGAUGCAGCGACGCCGCGUGAGGGAUGACGGCCUUCGGGUUGUAAACCUCUUACAGCACCGACGAAGCGCAAGUGACGGUAGGUGCAGAAGAAGGACCGGCCAACUACGUGCCAGCCGCCGCAGUAA